CAAUAGCGUAUAUUAAAGUUGUUGCGGUUAAAAAGCUCGUAGUUGGAUUUCUGCUGAGAACGACCGGUCCGCCCUUUGGGUGUGUAUCUGGCUCUUUCUUGGCAUCUUCUUGGUGAACGUUGCUGCACUUGACUGUGUGGAGCGCUACCCAGGACUUUUACUUUGAGGAAAUUAGAGUGUUUCAAGCAGGCAUACGCCUUGAAUACAUUAGCAUGGAAUAAUAAGAUAGGACCUCGGUUCUAUUUUGUUGGUUUCUAGAGCUGAGGUAAUGAUUAAUAGGGAUAGUUGGGGGCAUUCGUAUUUAACUGUCAGAGGUGAAAUUCUUGGAUUUGUUAAAGGCGGACUACUGCGAAAGCAUUUGCCAAGGAUGUUUNCAUUGA
Molecule: ribosomal RNA, 380 nt
Filed under: uncultured eukaryote
Lineage: Eukaryota
Description: partial 18S ribosomal RNA
Rfam family: Eukaryotic small subunit ribosomal RNA
Source: RNAcentral